UUGAUUUAUAACAGAAUUGUGUUUCAUCAAGGUUUUAACAUUACUUGUAUGGUUUAAUGUCGACUGAUUUCUAAGGAAUAAGUUUAAUUAUGCAAACCAAAACUGCCUUAAUUAUCAAAAGUCUUAUUUUUAACAUAUGUUAUAUAUUAUUUACCAGUAAUUUGGCGCAAAUGUUAGGUUUUAUUUUGGUGCAAAUGAACGAUUUUUUUCGGCGCAAAUGAAAUGGCAAUUGGCGCAAAAGCAAAACACCGGUGUCUGACACAUAAAAUCGACACCAUAAGUACAAAAAUAUCUACAUAGUGACAACGAAACAAAGUAAUGAUCUAAUAGUACAAAAAUAUCUACAAAGUGACAACGAAACAAAGUAAUGAUCUAAGAGUACUC
Molecule: long non-coding RNA, 384 nt
Filed under: Mytilus galloprovincialis (Mediterranean mussel)
Lineage: Eukaryota; Metazoa; Mollusca; Bivalvia; Mytilida; Mytilidae
Source: RNAcentral